UUCCUGUCCAACGUUAAUCGGGGCAGGGUGAGUCGACCCCUAAGGCGAGGCCGAAAGGCGUAGUCGAUGGGAAACAGGUUAAUAUUCCUGUACUUGGUGUUACUGCGAAGGGGGGACGGAGAAGGCUAUGUUGGCCGGGCGACGGUUGUCCCGGUUUAAGCGUGUAGGCUGGUUUUCCAGGCAAAUCCGGAAAAUCAAGGCUGAGGCGUGAUGACGAGGCACUACGGUGCUGAAGCAACAAAUGCCCUGCUUCCAGGAAAAGCCUCUAAGCAUCAGGUAACAUCAAAUCGUACCCCAAACCGACACAGGUGGUCAGGUAGAGAAUACCAAGGCGCUUGAGAGAACUCGGGUGAAGGAACUAGGCAAAAUGGUGCCGUAACUUCGGGAGAAGGCACGCUGAUAUGUAGGUGAAGUCCCUCGCGGAUGGAGCUGAAAUCAGUCGAAGAUACCAGCUGGCUGCAACUGUUUAUUAAAAACACAGCACUGUGCAAACACGAAAGUGGACGUAUACGGUGUGACGCCUGCCCGGUGCCGGAAGGUUAAUUGAUGGGGUUAGCCGCAAGGCGAAGCUCUUGAUCGAAGCCCCGGUAAACGGCGGCCGUAACUAUAACGGUCCUAAGGUAGCGAAAUUCCUUGUCGGGUAAGUUCCGACCUGCACGAAUGGCGUAAUGAUGGCCAGGCUGUCUCCACCCGAGACUCAGUGAAAUUGAACUCGCUGUGAAGAUGCAGUGUACCCGCGGCAAGACGGAAAGACCCCGUGAACCUUUACUAUAGCUUGACACUGAACAUUGAGCCUUGAUGUGUAGGAUAGGUGGGAGGCUUUGAAGUGUGGACGCCAGUCUGCAUGGAGCCGACCUUGAAAUACCACCCUUUAAUGUUUGAUGUUCUAACGUUGACCCGUAAUCCGGGUUGCGGACAGUGUCUGGUGGGUAGUUUGACUGGGGCGGUCUCCUCCUAAAGAGUAACGGAGGAGCACGAAGGUUGGCUAAUCCUGGUCGGACAUCAGGAGGUUAGUGCAAUGGCAUAAGCCAGCUUGACUGCGAGCGUGACGGCGCGAGCAGGUGCGAAAGCAGGUCAUAGUGAUCCGGUGGUUCUGAAUGGAAGGGCCAUCGCUCAACGGAUAAAAGGUACUCCGGGGAUAACAGGCUGAUACCGCCCAAGAGUUCAUAUCGACGGCGGUGUUUGGCACCUCGAUGUCGGCUCAUCACAUCCUGGGGCUGAAGUAGGUCCCAAGGGUAUGGCUGUUCGCCAUUUAAAGUGGUACGCGAGCUGGGUUUAGAACGUCGUGAGACAGUUCGGUCCCUAUCUGCCGUGGGCGCUGGAGAACUGAGGGGGGCUGCUCCUAGUACGAGAGGACCGGAGUGGACGCAUCACUGGUGUUCGGGUUGUCAUGCCAAUGGCACUGCCCGGUAGCUAAAUGCGGAAGAGAUAAGUGCUGAAAGCAUCUAAGCACGAAACUUGCCCCGAGAUGAGUUCUCCCUGACUCCUUGAGAGUCCUGAAGGAACGUUGAAGACGACGACGUUGAUAGGCCGGGUGUGUAAGCGCAGCGAUGCGUUGAGCUAACCGGUACUAAUGAACCGUGAGGCUUAACCUU
This 1595-nucleotide ribosomal RNA is filed under the name Escherichia coli 2-210-07_S3_C3. RNAcentral's name for it is "bacterial LSU rRNA". It matches the Rfam family "Bacterial large subunit ribosomal RNA", at positions 1352 to 2925 of the family's 2925-position model. Lineage: Bacteria; Pseudomonadati; Pseudomonadota; Gammaproteobacteria; Enterobacterales; Enterobacteriaceae. The record is from RNAcentral.